This 347-nucleotide ribosomal RNA is filed under the name uncultured bacterium. RNAcentral's name for it is "partial 16S ribosomal RNA". It matches the Rfam family "Bacterial small subunit ribosomal RNA", at positions 338 to 682 of the family's 1533-position model. The record is from RNAcentral.
CCUACGGGUGGCAGCAGUGAGGAAUAUUGGUCAAUGGACGAGAGUCUGAACCAGCCAAGUAGCGUGAAGGAUGACGGCCCUAUGGGGUGUAAACUGCUUUUAUAGGGGAAUAAAAUGUGACACGUGUGGGAUGUUGGAUGUACCAUAUGAAUAAGGAUCGGCUAACUCCGUGCCAGCAGCCGCGGUAAUACGGAGGAUCCGAGCGUUAUCCGGAUUUAUUGGGGUUAAAGGGAGCGUAGGUGGAUUGUUAAGUCAGUUGUGAAAGUUUGCGGCUCAACCGGAAAAUUGCAGUUGAAACGGGCAGUCUUGAGUACAGUAGCGGUGGGCUGAAUUCGUGGUGUAGCGGU